RNAcentral lists this transfer RNA (72 nucleotides) under Camelus bactrianus (Bactrian camel). It matches the Rfam family "tRNA". Rfam says of the family: Transfer RNA (tRNA) molecules are approximately 80 nucleotides in length. Their secondary structure includes four short double-helical elements and three loops (D, anti-codon, and T loops). Further hydrogen bonds mediate the characteristic L-shaped molecular structure. tRNAs have two regions of fundamental functional importance: the anti-codon, which is responsible for specific mRNA codon recognition, and the 3' end, to which the tRNAs corresponding amino acid is attached (by aminoacyl-tRNA synthetases). tRNAs cope with the degeneracy of the genetic code in two manners: having more than one tRNA (with a specific anti-codon) for a particular amino acid; and 'wobble' base-pairing, i.e. permitting non-standard base-pairing at the 3rd anti-codon position. Lineage: Eukaryota; Metazoa; Chordata; Mammalia; Artiodactyla; Camelidae. RNAcentral also lists the same sequence under 2 other names. The record is from Rfam by way of RNAcentral.
AGGGUAAUAGCUUAGUGAUAGAGCACGUGCUUAGCAUGCACAGGGUCCUGGGUUCAAUCCCAAGUACCUCCA